This is a long non-coding RNA of Mizuhopecten yessoensis (Yesso scallop), 403 nucleotides long. RefSeq lists it as uncharacterized. NCBI's taxonomy places the organism in Eukaryota, Metazoa, Mollusca, Bivalvia, Pectinida, Pectinidae. The transcript has 2 exons. The record is from RefSeq and is a predicted model, not a curated record.
GAAGUGCAGACAUACGUUGGGUGGUUUAUUGGAGUACAGGCAUAAGUGGGUGGUUUGUGGAAGGAUAUACGACAGUAGGGUAGANUAGAUAUUGGGAGGGUAGACGUAAUUUAGGUAGUUUGUGAAAGGUUAGGUAUAAUUUGGGUUGUUUGUGAGAGGAUAGCUAUAAAUUGGGUGGUGAGACGUACAGCGGGUAGUCCGUGGGAGGGUAGACAUAAUUUAGGAAGAUUGUGGAAAGAUCGGCGUAAGUGGUGCGUACUUUUGGGUAGUUUAUAGGUUGAUGUCUGUUAUGUAGUUUCUAUAAUAAACAGGUCAAAACGUUUAUAAAACUUGGACAGUGCUUAUUUUAUAAUGUAAAAAUACAUGUGUAUGUCAGUGGUAUAAUAAAGGUGUAUAUCCUGGU